ACGAACGCUGGCGGCGUGCCUCAUACAUGCCAGUCGAACGCUUCUUUCCUCCCGAGUGCUUGCACUCAAUUGGAAAGAGGAGUGGCGGACGGGUGAGUAACACGUGGGUAACCUACCCAUCAGAGGGGGAUAACACUUGGAAACAGGUGCUAAUACCGCAUAACAGUUUAUGCCGCAUGGCAUAAGAGUGAAAGGCGCUUUCGGGUGUCGCUGAUGGAUGGACCCGCGGUGCAUUAGCUAGUUGGUGAGGUAACGGCUCACCAAGGCCACGAUGCAUAGCCGACCUGAGAGGGUGAUCGGCCACACUGGGACUGAGACACGGCCCAGACUCCUACGGGAGGCAGCAGUAGGGAAUCUUCGGCAAUGGACGAAAGUCUGACCGAGCAACGCCGCGUGAGUGAAGAAGGUUUUCGGAUCGUAAAACUCUGUUGUUAGAGAAGAACAAGGACGUUAGUAACUGAACGUCCCCUGACGGUAUCUAACCAGAAAGCCACGGCUAACUACGUG
This 507-nucleotide ribosomal RNA is filed under the name uncultured bacterium. RNAcentral describes it as "partial 16S ribosomal RNA". It matches the Rfam family "Bacterial small subunit ribosomal RNA", at positions 29 to 507 of the family's 1533-position model. The record is from RNAcentral.